CAUUAUAGAAAACACGUCGGGGGUUUGAAGCGCUGGCCCUGAAAGAAGGGGCAUGUGCGCGCCCCUGACCCUUUUUUGUCCCACAAAAUACACCUGUGCACCUAGCGAGCGCCUCCCAUAUCGGAGCAGUCCUGAUGCAGAACCCUUUCGGGGGGGAGUCGGGCCCGGGGCGUUCCCUCUUUUUCUUUACACCACUGCCUGUUUAAACGCAUGUCUUUUUUUGAAGCCCUACGGGGCGGAAGCGGAAUACAACUUUCAACAACGGAUCUCUUGGCUUUCGCAUCGAUGAAGGACGCCGCGAACGUGCGAAACGUAAUGUGAAUUGCAGAAUUCAGUGAAUCAUCGAAUCUUUGAACGCAUCUUGCGCUCCUUGGUAUUCCGAGGAGCAUGCCUGUUUGAGUGUCGUGAACUACCUCAACCUCCCCUUGCCUUCUGGCGAGUGGGGUUUGGAUUUGGAUGCUUGCGGCGAAAGGGGAGAAAAGCUCCUCCCGCCGCUCGUCUUUAAAUGCAUCAGCUUGGUCCCUCGAGUCGGUCCAACGAAACGGUGUGAUAAUAAACACUUCGUUGACUGUGGCGCCGUUUUAGGCCGACUUGUUUUUCGGGGGGUUUGCUUACAGUCGUCUUCGGACAAGUUCGCUUUGUUGUCGUCUGACCUCAAAUCAGGUAGGACUACCCGCCGAACUUAAGC
This 688-nucleotide ribosomal RNA is filed under the name Ramaria sp. LM58. RNAcentral describes it as "eukaryotic LSU rRNA". The stretch from base 251 to 405 matches the Rfam family "5.8S ribosomal RNA". The record is from RNAcentral. Lineage: Eukaryota; Fungi; Basidiomycota; Agaricomycetes; Gomphales; Gomphaceae.